GAGAUGGUAAGGUAUACAAGAGAUAGAAGCUGAAGCUUCAGUGUCAAAUAAAGGAAGAGUCUUUUGUUGCCGGAGAGAUGGAGGAGAGAGAACCGCGUGUCGAAAGGAAGGCGGCAAUAACUAGGGCUCCUAAGAUUUUACAGUUUUUUUAAAAAAAACUUCUACGUCCGCCUCUGAUGGACUCCACCAAACACCAUUAAUGGAACUUCAAUUCCCCUGCAGGCAAAGUGGAGAGAGCGGAACUAGGAGAAGCACAGAGAGCGGGAGGGGAAGCACAGAGAGAGGAAAAUAGAGAAAUAGGGCAAGAGAAGAGAGUAAGAUCGGCG
Molecule: long non-coding RNA, 326 nt
Filed under: Spirodela polyrhiza (greater duckweed)
Lineage: Eukaryota; Viridiplantae; Streptophyta; Magnoliopsida; Alismatales; Araceae
Description: long non-coding RNA (SPOL_LNC002188)
Source: RNAcentral